UACGUAGGGGGCAAGCGUUGUCCGGAAUGACUGGGCGUAAAGGGAGUGUAGGCGGCCUUUUAAUUUAUAUGUGAAAGCCCCCGGCUUAACCGAGGAACUGCAUAUAAAACUGGAGGGCUGGAGUGCAGGAGAGGUAAGCGGAAUUUCUAGUGUAGCGGUGGAAUGCGUAGAUAUUAGGAGGAACACCAGUGGCGAAGGCGGCCUGCUGGACGGUGACUGACGCUGAGGCUCGAAAGCGUGGGGAUCGAACAGG
This 253-nucleotide ribosomal RNA is filed under the name uncultured Eubacteriales bacterium. RNAcentral describes it as "uncultured Clostridiales bacterium partial 16S ribosomal RNA". It matches the Rfam family "Bacterial small subunit ribosomal RNA", at positions 524 to 776 of the family's 1533-position model. The record is from RNAcentral. Lineage: Bacteria; Bacillati; Bacillota; Clostridia; Eubacteriales.